GACGAACGCUGGCGGCGUGCUUAACACAUGCAAGUCGAACGCUGAAGCUCAGCUUUUGUUGGGUGGAUGAGUGGCGAACGGGUGAGUAACACGUGAGUAACCUGCCUCCUUCUUUGGGAUAACGCCCGGAAACGGGUGCUAAUACUGGAUAUUCACUGGUCUUCGCAUGGGGGUUGGUGGAAAGGGUUUUUCUGGUGGGGGAUGGGCUCGCGGCCUAUCAGCUUGUUGGUGGGGUGAUGGCCUACCAAGGCUUUGACGGGUAGCCGGCCUGAGAGGGUGACCGGUCACAUUGGGACUGAGAUACGGCCCAGACUCCUACGGGAGGCAGCAGUGGGGAAUAUUGCACAAUGGGCGCAAGCCUGAUGCAGCGACGCCGCGUGAGGGAUGGAGGCCUUCGGGUUGUGAACCUCUUUCGCUCAUGGUCAAGCCGCAACAAUGGUUGUGGUGAGGGUAGCGGGUAAAGAAGCGCCGGCUAACUACGUG
RNAcentral lists this ribosomal RNA (483 nucleotides) under uncultured bacterium. RNAcentral's name for it is "partial 16S ribosomal RNA". It matches the Rfam family "Bacterial small subunit ribosomal RNA", at positions 28 to 507 of the family's 1533-position model. The record is from RNAcentral.